UACGUACGGUGCGAGCGUUAAUCGGAAUUACUGGGCGUAAAGCGUGCGCAGGCGGUUUUGUAAGCCAGAUGUGAAAUCCCCGGGCUUAACCUGGGAAUGGCAUUUGGGACUGCAAGGCUGGAGUGCGGCAGAGGAGACUGGAAUUCCUGGUGUAGCAGUGAAAUGCGUAGAUAUCAGGAGGAACACCGGUGGCGAAGGCGGGUCUCUGGGCCGAUACUGACGCUGAGGAGCGAAAGCGUGGGGAGCGAACAGG
Molecule: ribosomal RNA, 253 nt
Filed under: uncultured bacterium
Lineage: Bacteria
Description: partial 16S ribosomal RNA
Rfam family: Bacterial small subunit ribosomal RNA
Source: RNAcentral